CAGCAUAUAUGAUGAGUUUGUUAUCCCUGUCUGAAUAUAAAUUUGUUGAAAUCAAUGGUAUCUGACCUGCUG
Notolabrus celidotus (New Zealand spotty) is the source of this 72-nucleotide small nucleolar RNA. RefSeq annotates it as small nucleolar RNA R38. The transcript has a single exon. Lineage: Eukaryota; Metazoa; Chordata; Actinopteri; Labriformes; Labridae. The record is from RefSeq and is a predicted model, not a curated record.